This 411-nucleotide ribosomal RNA is filed under the name Shigella flexneri. Its description in RNAcentral is "bacterial SSU rRNA". It matches the Rfam family "Bacterial small subunit ribosomal RNA", at positions 42 to 449 of the family's 1533-position model. Lineage: Bacteria; Pseudomonadati; Pseudomonadota; Gammaproteobacteria; Enterobacterales; Enterobacteriaceae. The record is from RNAcentral.
GCAGGCCUAACACAUGCAAGUCGAACGGUAACAGGAAGCAGCUUGCUGUUUCGCUGACGAGUGGCGGACGGGUGAGUAAUGUCUGGGAAACUGCCUGAUGGAGGGGGAUAACUACUGGAAACGGUAGCUAAUACCGCAUAACGUCGCAAGACCAAAGAGGGGGACCUUCGGGCCUCUUGCCAUCGGAUGUGCCCAGAUGGGAUUAGCUAGUAGGUGGGGUAACGGCUCACCUAGGCGACGAUCCCUAGCUGGUCUGAGAGGAUGACCAGCCACACUGGAACUGAGACACGGUCCAGACUCCUACGGGAGGCAGCAGUGGGGAAUAUUGCACAAUGGGCGCAAGCCUGAUGCAGCCAUGCCGCGUGUAUGAAGAAGGCCUUCGGGUUGUAAAGUACUUUCAGCGGGGAGGAA